GACGAACGCUGGCGGCGUGCUUAACACAUGCAAGUCGAACGGUAAGGCCCUUCGGGGUACACGAGUGGCGAACGGGUGAGUAACACGUGGGUGAUCUGCCCUGCACUUCGGGAUAAGCCUGGGAAACUGGGUCUAAUACCGGAUAGGACUCCUGCCUGCAUGGGUGGGGGUGGAAAGCUUUUGCGGUGUGGGAUGGGCCCGCGGCCUAUCAGCUUGGUGGUGGGGUGAUGGCCUACCAAGGCGACGACGGGUAGCCGGCCUGAGAGGGUGACCGGCCACACUGGGACUGAGACACGGCCCAGACGCCUACGGGAGGCAGCAGUGGGGAAUAUUGCACAAUGGGCGCAAGCCUGAUGCAGCGACGCCGCGUGAGGGAUGACGGCCUUCGGGUUGUAAACCUCUUUCAGCACAGACGAAGCGCAAGUGACGGUAUGUGCAGAAGAAGGACCGGCCAACUACGUGCCAGCCGCCGCGGUAA
This 478-nucleotide ribosomal RNA is filed under the name uncultured bacterium. RNAcentral's name for it is "partial 16S ribosomal RNA". It matches the Rfam family "Bacterial small subunit ribosomal RNA", at positions 28 to 523 of the family's 1533-position model. The record is from RNAcentral.